This 374-nucleotide ribosomal RNA is filed under the name uncultured eukaryote. RNAcentral describes it as "SSU rRNA". It matches the Rfam family "Eukaryotic small subunit ribosomal RNA", at positions 587 to 972 of the family's 1831-position model. The record is from RNAcentral.
AGCUCCAAUAGCGUAUAUUAAAGUUGCUUCGGAUAAAAAGCUCGUAGUUGGAUUUUUGAUGAGGACGAUCGGUCCGCCCUCUGGGUGAGCAUUGACUCGGCCUUGCCAUUUUCUUGGAGAACGCUACUGCACUUGACUGUGUGGUGCGGUAUCCAUGACUUUUACCUUGAGGAAAUUAGAGCGUUUCAAGCAUGCGCACGCCUUGAAUACAUUAGCAUGGAAUGAUAUGAUAGGACCUUGGUUCUAUUUUGUUGGUUUCUAGAGUUGAGGUAAUGAUUAAUAGGGAUAGUUGGGGGCAUUCGUAUUUAACUGUCAAAGACGAAAUUUUUGGAUGUGUUAAAGACGGACUACUGCGAUUGCCAAGGAUGUUUUCA